RNAcentral lists this ribosomal RNA (497 nucleotides) under uncultured bacterium. Its description in RNAcentral is "partial 16S ribosomal RNA". It matches the Rfam family "Bacterial small subunit ribosomal RNA", at positions 28 to 507 of the family's 1533-position model. The record is from RNAcentral.
GAUGAACGCUGGCGGCGUGCCUAAUACAUGCAAGUCGAGCGAACAGACGAGGAGCUUGCUCCUCUGACGUUAGCGGCGGACGGGUGAGUAACACGUGGAUAACCUACCUAUAAGACUGGGAUAACUUCGGGAAACCGGAGCUAAUACCGGAUAAUAUAUUGAACCGCAUGGUUCAAUAGUGAAAGACGGUUUUGCUGUCACUUAUAGAUGGAUCCGCGCCGCAUUAGCUAGUUGGUAAGGUAACGGCUUACCAAGGCAACGAUGCGUAGCCGACCUGAGAGGGUGAUCGGCCACACUGGAACUGAGACACGGUCCAGACUCCUACGGGAGGCAGCAGUAGGGAAUCUUCCGCAAUGGGCAAAAGCCUGACGGAGCAACGCCGCGUGAGUGAUGAAGGUCUUCGGAUCGUAAAACUCUGUUAUUAGGGAAGAACAAAUGUGUAAGUAACUAUGCACGUCUUGACGGUACCUAAUCAGAAAGCCACGGCUAACUACGUG